UGGGACUCUCCCUAUAAAAUUGGGACAUCUGGUCAUCCUGCCAGCAAGAGGGCCAUAUCUCAGCCUUUACUAAUCUGCUGGUCAUUGAAGCUCACAGCAACUUCUGAGCUGCUAAAUGCUAGGGAUGCAGGUGGCAGUUUGCAGGUGGCAGUCACAAAUAAAGCGUCUCACCUACAGAAAAUGUUUUUUCACCCACAUUUUGGCUGCAGACCUAUUACGAAUGCUGUUUGGAGGGUGUCUCAGUGUUUGUAUUGUUCUGCAACCAGCAAAGCAGGCUGAGACAGGAAAAGAGAGCUGGGCUGGACAAGGGGAAGGGGCAGGUCUCCCGCCAUCCUGGACCUGAUCUAAAGCCAACUGAAAUCAGUGAAACACUGUCACUGAUUUCCAAGGGGGUUGCAUCAGGCUCUUUGAGCUCUGUAAGGCCAAGGAAAGUCAGCAGGGAAAGACUGGGGAUAUGUGGCAACCAAGCGAACCCUUCUGAGCACUGUGUGUUCUCAUUUAGAUAAGAGCCUGCAGACUAGCCACUGAAGCAACGGGGGUUGAGUGGGCCAGGUUUUUCUAUGUCUCAGUGGCCUAGACAGGCUGAGGGAGGAAGGAGGAUGUGGCCUGGCCUCUAUACUCCACAGCUGGGCCUGAUUAGCAACCUGUAGAGAAACUUCCUGCUGCUCAGAUCUGGGGAGGGAGAAUUACUUGGGCUAUGUCUGUAUGGGGUGGGGAGGGGAACUGUUUUGCUGCAGCACAGGAGCUGAACCUUUCAUCACUUGACAUGCUUUGACCCAAUCCAUAAUGCCUAAUGGAAAUUCACCCAAUAGAAGAAAAAUCAGCAAAGUCAUACCAAUGUACCCUGACAUGAAUUAAAUGCAACAACAGCUCCUGCCAGAUCAAAGUUGAUCCACUGCUGGCUUCCCUUCUGCUGAAAACAACAAACCAACUCCUCACAAGUCGUGCUCACGCUGCUGUUUUGUAUGUCGGAAGGAAGUCUGCAGGUGCAGUUAGAAUUUUCUCCUAAUUCCCUAAUCCUUGCUGAGUGCCUUGUUUGGAGCACCUCCCAGGAUCAGGCUCUAAGAGCUCAGAACAAUCUACUAGUAUCAACAGGCUGAAUGCAACAAAACCAGUCCCACCAGAAUUCGUGUGCAAAGCUGAAUUUAUGCUUUGCCCUCCAGCUCAUUAACUUUUCCUGAACUUAAAUUACUUGAGACCAUUCCCUGAGUUACUAGUACAUUUAUAGACCUAUCCACCAUGAGCUGUAAAUACCAUAUUACAGCUCAGUUUGAUUCUAAACUGUGGCAUAACUCCCCUAUGCUUCUACCUCUGCUUUGAAAACAACUGAAGCUUGUCUGUUAUCCAAGUGUAUGUAUUUAACUGGUUUGUAGUAAGUCUGUAACAAUAAAUGGCUUACACAACAGUAUAUAAAUUGAUUCCAAUCAUGUUUUAAUGUAAGUACUUUGUAUAUAUUUGUACAUUUUUAAGAACUAUCAUGCCAUUUGUUUCCUAACUCCCUUAUUGUCUCUGAAUAAUGCUAGUUCAAAAAUUAAAAUUGGAUUUUCAAGCUGAUUGUAAAUAUUUAAAAUAUCUGCUGAAAAGGGGCCAAAUCCUUGUAGGAUUUAGUGUGGUUAAUUGUUAAUUAAACAAAUCAGUAUUAAUAACUCACAACUAUUUUCUGAAAACUAGAUUUCAUUUAGGAUAGCCUAAAAUAUUACAAUUGGUUUUAUUUCAUUUUCACAGAAUUUUGAAGUAUACAGUUACUAAACAUAAGUAUGUGUGCUAGGUUCUCAACUAUUCUUGUCUUCUACAGAUCAUAAAUUAGCUGUGAAGAUGUAGUUCUAUUUUCCCUCAGGAAAGGCAAUUUCAUGAAAAAAAUCUAAAGCAUGGAUGAAAAGAUUCUAUAUUUAGAAUUACACUGAGGACUUACUAUGACCUUCAGAGAAUAGAAACUAAAAGGCUCAAUUUUUACAUACAAAAGAGCUGUUCAAUAAAAACAUAAAUUAAAAAAAAGAAGUGUUUAGAACACCUGCUUUCCAUGCAUUUGCCUUUUUUAAACAAUUUUUUUUUAAAGUUAAGCUUGA
Long non-coding RNA from Chelonia mydas (Green sea turtle), 2066 nucleotides. RefSeq lists it as uncharacterized. The transcript is spliced from 3 exons. The record is from RefSeq and is a predicted model, not a curated record. NCBI's taxonomy places the organism in Eukaryota, Metazoa, Chordata, Testudines, Cheloniidae.